Molecule: ribosomal RNA, 512 nt
Filed under: uncultured bacterium
Lineage: Bacteria
Description: bacterial SSU rRNA
Rfam family: Bacterial small subunit ribosomal RNA
Source: RNAcentral
GACGAACGCUGGCGGCGUGGAUUAGGCAUGCAAGUCGAACGGUAUCAUCCUUUCGGGGGUGAGAGAGUGGCGAACUGGUGAGUAACACGUAGGUUAUCUACCCUCAAGACGGGGACAACCCAGGGAAACUUGGGCUAAUACCGGAUGUGAGCAACUUUUAGUUGUUUGAAAGGUGGCGUAAGCUGUCGCUUGGGGAUGAGCCUGCGUCCUAUUAGUUAGUUGGUGAGGUAACGGCUCACCUAGGCAAUGAUAGGUAGGCGGCCUUAACGGGUGGUCGCCCACACUGGGAUUGAGAUACGGCCCAGACUCCUACGGGAGGCAGCAGUGGGGAAUAUUGGACAAUGGGCGAAAGCCUGAUCCAGCAAUGCCGCGUGGGUGAAGACGGCCUGCGGGUUGUAAAGCCCUUUAGGUGGGGAGGAAAGGCGGGACGUGAACAGCGUUUCGCACUGACGUUACCCACGGAAUAAGCACCGGCUAACUCCGUGCCAGCAGCCGCGGUAAGCUGUAGUCGU